Podarcis lilfordi (Lilford's wall lizard) is the source of this 83-nucleotide non-coding RNA. The record is from the annotation of a GenBank genome assembly. Lineage: Eukaryota; Metazoa; Chordata; Lepidosauria; Squamata; Lacertidae.
GUUCAGCACUGGAAAGCUCAGUUGGUUAGAGCAAUUAAGCGUUGAUAAUGCCAAGGCUGCAGGUUCGAUCCCUGUAUGGGACA